ACCCUCCUUACUCACCAGAUCUAAAUAUUAGUCUAAUGGUUAUAAAAGGAGGAAGAGUAAAAUUGAAACUGAAUUCAAUUUUUUUGUGACAUAUGAGCUAGUUUCAAACAAAA
This 113-nucleotide small nucleolar RNA is filed under the name Echinops telfairi (small Madagascar hedgehog). Its description in RNAcentral is "Small nucleolar RNA SNORA61 (ENSETEG00000024054.1)". Lineage: Eukaryota; Metazoa; Chordata; Mammalia; Afrosoricida; Tenrecidae. The record is from RNAcentral.